Molecule: non-coding RNA, 1542 nt
Organism: Nicotiana tabacum (common tobacco)
Lineage: Eukaryota; Viridiplantae; Streptophyta; Magnoliopsida; Solanales; Solanaceae
Source: RefSeq, a predicted model, not a curated record
CUUCAACCCCCCUCGUUCUGAAACUUCUUCAGCGAAAAGAACGAAAAAACCAAACCAUACCCCACCCCCUGACCUCAUCGUCUUCACACGACCCUUCACCAAACUCACCCAAAAACCAUCCCCUUCUCCUCCACAACGACGACCCUCCAUAGCAGCUCACGCCAUCACACACACACACAACAGAAAAAUAGAGGAGGAUCUCUGAAAACAGUGAGGAGAACGAGACAAGCUUAAACUAUGGAGUCAAGCAGAGGUUAUUGAAAUCGCCGCUGUCCGGAGUGGUUUCGAGUGCGAUUUCGAGUCGAGUUUUGCGAUUCCGGGUUUGAAUUGUUGCUAUUUUCUCGACUGGAUGUUGGAUUUGAAGCCUUGUAUAUGUUUGGUUGUUCGAAUAUUCAAAGUAAUCUAAUCAUUGAGGUUUGAGAAGUGGUCGAUGUCGUCGUCCCAUUUUCUUGUUACCAUAUAUUGGUUCCGGUUUAGUUUCUUGUUGUUGUCCAUUUCCCCGGUCAAAAGUCAGCUUGCAGAACAUUGAUCGUUGGAUGCUGAAGAACGGUGUUUAGCCGAGGUUGAUUCGAGUUCAUUGCCGGUUUUAGAUUUUUGGUGCCAAUUUGGGUUCCCGUCUGCGAUUCGUUACAUCUCGAGUUCAAAGUAGUGAAACAAUCAAUUUCCCGACUAUAUUGAGAUUCAUCGAAGCAGUAUGUUGCAGAUACCAAUAAUUUGAACAAAGAAAUCAUUUGGGGGUCCCAUGGAAAAUAUCUAAGAGUAUCUUUGAAACGUGAUCCUUGAAUCAUCACGGCAAGCUAUCAAUGUCUUUAUAUUUGUUACUACCAAAUCCUGUAUUUUAUGUGUAGAUAGAUAGGCAUAAAUGUGUCGUAGUACACUAUACUAGCUACUUCCUCCAUUCCAUUUGCAGCGCCAAAACCAGAAUUUUCUCUAAGGUGUUCAAGAUUUAAUAUACAUAAAUAAAAAGUAAUUUUUAGUUUAUAUAUGCAGUAUAAAUUUUUAUUUAUUAUAAAGUAUAAUUUUUUGAUAAAGAAUGUUCAACUGACUACUAUUCGUUGUAUUUGGCUACGUCACUCUCCAUUUGAUGUGAAUCUAUUUUUAUUGAGUUUAAGAAAGAAAUAAAAAAAUCUUAAACUUGUGGUCCUAAACAAGUCAUAACAUUUAUGUAUACGGUAGAAAACGACGGUUCUAUUUUACGAUCAUCAAGGCAUCUCGAGGGUCUUCGGUGAUCGACUUUGAGGGUUCUUAGUGAUCGACUUCGAGGUAGUGUAAGUGACGGUCGGCCUCAAGGCAAUGUAAAUUAGUGGUCUCAGUGGAUCAAUGUGAAGUUCCAAAGGCGCAUAAAUAGAGCUGACAAAGUCUAGUGGACUAGUCCAAAAGCGAAUCAAGGCAUUAAAUGGUUGUACCAACCCCAUAUCUUUGUAAUUAAUGCAUUUGUACUAUGUUGGGAUUUCCCCCUCAUAUAUAAAGGGGAUCCUUGUCAUUUUAUAGAUACCUCAUGCUCAAUAUUAAAUACACAAGAACAUUCUCUCUGCUCUCUAA